GUUGUCACUUCAGCAAUACACACACAAACACUGAAGUGAUUAACAUGGCACUUCCAUAAGGAUGACAAGUAAAUUUGUGAUACACUCCAUAUUUUU
Molecule: small nuclear RNA, 96 nt
Organism: Cricetulus griseus (Chinese hamster)
Lineage: Eukaryota; Metazoa; Chordata; Mammalia; Rodentia; Cricetidae
Source: Ensembl